Molecule: ribosomal RNA, 409 nt
Filed under: uncultured microorganism
Description: bacterial SSU rRNA
Rfam family: Bacterial small subunit ribosomal RNA
Source: RNAcentral
CAGCCGCCGCGGUAAUACGUAGGUGGCGAGCGUUAUCCGGACUUACUGGGCGUAAAGGGUGUGUAGGUGGCUGCCAUAGUCGGGCGUGAAAUCCCGGGGCUUAACCUCGGGUUUGCGUUCGAUACUUGGUGGCUGGAGUGCGGGAGAGGGAAGUGGAAUUCCCGGUGUAGCGGUGAAAUGCGUAGAUAUCGGGAGGAACGCCGGUGGCGAAGGCGGCUUCCUGGCCCGUUACUGACGCUGAGGCACGAAAGCCAGGGGAGCGAACCGGAUUAGAUACCCGGGUAGUCCUGGCUGUAAACCAUGGGCGCUAGGUGUGGGUGGUGGUGAGCCAUCGGUGCCGAAGCUAACGCGUUAAGCGCCCCGCCUGGGGAGUACGGUCGCAAGGCUGAAACUUAAAGGAAUUGGCGGG